ACCUGGCUGGCUCAGUUGGAAGAGCAUGGGACUCUUGAUCUUGGGGUUGUGAGUUUGAGUCCCACAUUGGGUG
This 73-nucleotide transfer RNA is filed under the name Canis lupus familiaris (dog). It matches the Rfam family "tRNA". From Rfam's summary of the family: Transfer RNA (tRNA) molecules are approximately 80 nucleotides in length. The record is from Rfam by way of RNAcentral. RNAcentral also lists the same sequence under 1 other name. Lineage: Eukaryota; Metazoa; Chordata; Mammalia; Carnivora; Canidae.